AACGUAGGAGACAAACGUUAUCCGGAGUUACUGGGCGUAAAGGGCGUGUAGGUGGUUACGUAAGUCUGGCGUGAAAUUUCUCGGCUUAACCGAGGCAGGUCGUCGGAUACUGCGAGACUAGAGGACGGUAGAGGCGUGUGGAAUUCCGGGUGUAGUGGUGAAAUGCGUAGAGAUCCGGAAGAACACCGGUGGCGAAGGCGGCCUGCUGGGCAGUUUUGCUGACACUGAGGCGCGACAGCGUGGGGAGCAAACAGG
This 255-nucleotide ribosomal RNA is filed under the name uncultured bacterium. RNAcentral describes it as "partial 16S ribosomal RNA". It matches the Rfam family "Bacterial small subunit ribosomal RNA", at positions 524 to 776 of the family's 1533-position model. The record is from RNAcentral.